AGCAGCAGCCGCGGUAAUACGAAGGGGGCUAGCGUAGUUCGGAAUUACUGGGCGUAAAGCGCAUGUAGGCGGAUAUUUAAGUCAGGGGUGAAAUCCCGCGGCUCAACUGCGGAACUGCCUUUGAUACUGGGUAUCUUGAGUAUGGAAGAGGUUAGUGGAAUUGCGAGUGUAGAGGUGAAAUUUGUAGAUAUUCGCAGGAACACCAGUGGCGAAGGCGGCUAACUGGUCCAUAACUGACGCUGAGGUGCGAAAGCGUGGGGAGCAAACAGGAUUAGAUACCCCCGUAGUCCCUGUCUCUUAUAC
RNAcentral lists this ribosomal RNA (303 nucleotides) under uncultured bacterium. Its description in RNAcentral is "partial 16S ribosomal RNA". It matches the Rfam family "Bacterial small subunit ribosomal RNA", at positions 507 to 807 of the family's 1533-position model. The record is from RNAcentral.